AAAGCUUCACAAGGGAAAAAGGAACUUAAAAUAGCCUUUUAAAAAUAAGAGAUGGUAAAAGAUUUCUAAGAGUAUAUUUGGAAAAACUGAUGCUACAUUAUUCAACUAAAGAUCAGCCUCUUAUAUAGGCUUUACAGAGCAACAAAUCUUAAUAGAAAAUCAUAUCUCAAUAGGAAAUCAUAUCCCAACAGAAAAUCAUAACAAAAAUAGAAAAAAUAAAGGAAAC
This 226-nucleotide long non-coding RNA is filed under the name Gossypium barbadense (sea-island cotton). Its description in RNAcentral is "long non-coding RNA (GBAR_LNC020344)". Lineage: Eukaryota; Viridiplantae; Streptophyta; Magnoliopsida; Malvales; Malvaceae. The record is from RNAcentral.